This 544-nucleotide ribosomal RNA is filed under the name Cryptosporidium bovis. Its description in RNAcentral is "SSU rRNA". It matches the Rfam family "Eukaryotic small subunit ribosomal RNA", at positions 340 to 925 of the family's 1831-position model. Lineage: Eukaryota; Apicomplexa; Conoidasida; Eucoccidiorida; Cryptosporidiidae. The record is from RNAcentral.
CUUGGCACGAACCUUGCUUGAGCAGGACAUUCUUGAUCGAUUCCGGAGAGGGACGUGAGAACGGAUACCACCACUAGGGAAGGUCUCAGGCGCGCAAAUUACCCAAUCCUAAUACAGGGAGGUAGUGACAAGAAAUAACAAUACAGAACCUUACGGUUUUGUAAUUGGAAUGAGUUAAGUAUAAACCCCUUAACAAGUAUCAAUUGGAGGGCAAGUCUGGUGCCAGCAGCCGCGGUAAUUCCAGCUCCAAUAGCGUAUAUUAAAGUUGUUGCAGUUAAAAAGCUCGUAGUUAAUCUUCUGUUAAUUUUUAUAUAUAAUAUCACGAUAUUUAUAUAAUAUUAACAUAAUUCAUAUUACUUUUUAGUAUAUGAAACUUUACUUUGAGAAAAUUAGAGUGCUUAAAGCAGGCUAUUGCCUUGAAUACUCCAGCAUGGAAUAAUAUUAAGGAUUUUUAUUCUUCUUAUUGGUUCUAGAAUAAAAAUGAUGAUUAAUAGGGACAGUUGGGGGCAUUUGUAUUUAACAGUCAGAGGUGAAUUUCUUAGAA